UUAAAUUUAUGACAUAAGAAGACAUCUAUAAAUAAUUCUAUUUCAUGCCUUAUUUCAUUGCAUUGCAAUUAUCUCAUAGUAUAAAAUCAUAAUUUUAAGGUCCUUGAAAAUAGGAGAAAAAAUUAUUAGGUGCUUACACAAAUACCAAAUGAAAGCUCCUCAAAUAUUCUAGCAUACAAUAUAUUGUACAAUUCUUUGGUUAGAGCAAGAACUCUUUCAUCUCAACCUGCUACUCAUACAAAAGCCUUUCCGACAUUUACCUUUAUAAUUCUUCCUGUUUGGACAAUCUUUAUCUGUUUUACAAGGACGUGAAAUAGGGUAAUAAAUAGAAUCACAUCCUAUUACGACGAGAAAUAUGGAAAUAAAUAGAAUCAGAACAUAAACAAACUUCAGAGUUUCAGCCAUAUUUUUCACUCUUUGCAUCUAAUGUAGGAUAUGAUUUGAUCUAUUUAUAGUGUAUAAAAUUCAUGCUCUCAUAAUCUCAUAAUCAUUAAAUAGUUUAAACAUUUAUAAAAUUUUAAAAACUCUUCAUAAAAUUAAAAUAAUAGUAAAUGUCUCUUAAGUAUAUCUAUGUGUUGUAUUGGUCCUUGAUCACACUAGGAAAGGAGUUCAAAUCAUAAAAUUGCAAAUGUGAAGAAAAAAGUAAUGAGAAGUUAUAAUUUAAAUAAUAUUCAAUUCUUAUCAUAAUCAAUUUUAUAAUUUGAAGCAAGAGCCAACACAGCAAAUUGAUAUCUUUAAGAGGUGUUGAUGGUUGGAUUAGGCAAGUGUGACAAAUCGUUCACUAAGUAAUACAAUGAUAAGUAGAGUAUCGUAUCCACAUAAGUUGUCGUUUCAUACAAACAAUUCGUGUUACUUAUUUUAGAACAAAAUAAUAAAUAAAAGAGAUAAGGGUUUAGAGAUUAGUAAUUUUUAUAUGUUUGCAACACAACAAGUUACCUGUUUUGAUUACAAAAUGUUAAAGUCGAUUAGGAUUCUUUGAAUCCCCUCUAUUUAUUUGUUGGAUUUACGUAACAGUCAAGUCUUAUUCGAGGUAAUUCAUAUAAGGACUAUUUAAUGAGUUCGUGGGACAUGAUAACCUAAUCAGUUUGUUAAGUUGCACCUGCUGGUCGCACGGUGAUACUUAUGUGCAAGGUUUAUACUAUCUUGGUCGAUUAAGGUCUAUACCUCCGCCUGUUGAGUUGUACGUGUUGAUCACACGAUCAUCUUUACGUGUGCGGUUUAUCUCACUCAAGGGUAAUUGAAACAUAAACAAAUGGUAGAUUUCCUAGAAUUCCAAAGGUAUGAUGGCCAGUGUUCCUGAAGGUUCUCUCAUUUAUGGAUCUUAGAAGUUCAUAACACACACACACACUCUCUCUCUCUCUCUCUCUCUCUCUCUCUCUCUCUCUCUCUCUCUCUCCCUCCCUUAGUAGUUCUAGAAACAGGAAGCCCUAUCAGUGUAUACCUUACCAAGGAAAGAGAGCGGAGUUAUUGGGCUGAUUUAAGUCGUGAAGUCAUAGUUUCCUUAAUUACUAACUACUUACUACUUGAUUUCAACAGAUGUUCAUCAAUAUUAGGUAUGUCACAUCCCAAAGUACUUACUAUUAGGUAGAGCUGUCAAAAUGGGCCGGGCCGUAAGGGCCGGCCCGAAAGCCCGAAUAAAAUGUAGGGCUUGGGCCGAAUAAUUGGAGCCCGAAAUUGAAGAGGGCUUUUUAGCCCGGCCCGUAAAAGCCCUUGGCCCGUUAGGGCUAGCCCGUCCUGGCUCCGGGCUGCCCGGAAGCCCGCAAAAAGUACAACUGUUUUUUUUUUUUUUUUUGUGGUCUGUGUGUGUGAGAGACUGAUACGGGCUCGGGCUGGCCCGUUAGCCCGGCAUAUUUAUGUAUGUUCCGUACUUAAAAGAAUGGAAAAGGGAAGAAAAAAAUACAGGCCAGGGCCGGCCCGUUAGCCCGGGAGCCCGUAUAGGGCCGGGCUCGGGCUCAUUUUUUGCAGCCCAUAUUCAAACCGGGCUUUUUAGCCCGGCCCUUAAAAGCCCUUGGCCCGGCCGGGCCGCCCGUUUUGACAGCUCUACUAUUAGGGUACGCUCGCUUUUGGUUUGUUUCACUAGUUAAUAAUUAAUUACUUUCUGGUUAGUCAUAUAUAAAUAUCAAUAUUAGUCCAUGUCACUACAUAAGUGCCUAAAUCAGGGUUAUACUUUAGAGGAGACAAAUCUUACACACGACAAUAAAACUCAAUAGCAAACAUAAAAUAACUGAAUAAAGGCAUUAAAUUAUAUGAAUAUCCAACAAAUAGAAAUAGAGGUUCAUCUUAGAAUCAUAACCUAAAAAUAUUUAUUUAGUGAUGCAGGAGGAGGGUUUUUUAGUAAUUUAGUAGUAUUUAUUAUUUCAGCCUAAUUUAAUUAUUUGUUUGUUUUAUUUUCAGUUUGUUGUUUUUAAGACCAUUAUGGUUUGUUAUCUCCCUAUUUAAGCUUAACAGAUGUAGCCCAUAUAACUUUUAUUCAAUAAUAUUUUAGAGAGUUUUCCUCAAUUGGUGGAUUCUUGAACCUUAUUUUCACAAGUUUGUCGUUUGCAAACUUGUUUCUUUUCAAUCAAGGUUUAGUGUUUGCUAACAUACGCUUCCGUACUACGUCAGUUGGUAUCGGAGCAGGUAUCUCCUGUUCUUUUACGAUGGUAGAAUUUCACGAUUUAAUUGCGGCGGACAAAGCUCUUGCAGAUGAGAUGGCGGCAUUAUCCACAACAAUGACGGCUCGAACGGAGACGUUGACGACGUUGACAAUUGAGAUCGACAAAAUCAACAACAACAACAACAUAAACAAUCAGAACAGAGAUGUGGACCAAUUAGGCUUCCACGUGGUAGAAACAAUCAAAUUAUUGACUCUACUAUAUUGUCCAUUGAUUCAUUGUUGUUUGAUAGGGACAACACGACGAAAUCACAGGUGAAUGACAUAACUGCCCAUGACCAGAACAACAAGAUUAAUAGCUCUACGGAUAGUAAUCCUUCUAUCGACGAAAAUGCAUGCAUUUGUAGAAAACAAAAUAAUAUGCAUUGGACUUCAAACAUAGGAGUGAAUAAAAAACUACGAGCCACUAAAAAAGAUAAGUCUCAUAAUAAGAAAGGAUCAGAAGAAUAUGGUGAUGGCCAAACAGCUAUACCUUCUCUUUCAAUUUCCACUACAUAGCGCCUUACCAUUGGAUUUUUUUGAUAAUGAUCAAGGUUCUCUAAAUGAAAAUCCUCUCAUGACGUUUAACUUUAGCGAGUAUCGACCGCCGUCGGAACCACCUGAUGUCACACUCGAAUGUCGUCACUAAAUCGGACUUUGUCGGUUACUACCAGAGGUAUCACAACAAUUCAAUAUCUAUAUGUGUUUUAAUAAUAAUGCAGGGGGCAGAGGAUAUGUGCUUGUUUCUAAAGCUGUUAGUAAUGAAAUCCCUUCACUACUAUCUUUCAUGAAGAGAAAAAAAAAAACCAUAACCGAAAAACGAUGAGAAUAAAAAUAAUUUUUUAAAAAAUGGCUUUGUAAUGGAUUUGGCAAUUAGACCCAGGCCCGAUGGGUAUCCGCAAAAAUUAACCGCAAUGGAUAGGGUAAAUCCCCGCUUUCAUAUAUGGGUAUGAGCAUGGGUCCAGGUAAUUGCCCGCAAACUUAAAAGGGUACGGAUACGGGUAUGGGCAUUAUACUACCCAUCCCCGCAACCCGCACAUAUGUAUUUAUAUAAUAUAAUAAAUAAUUUAUAUAUUAAUUAAUUAAUUUACCUAACUAUUUAAUCUUAAACCUAAACCUAAAAAUUGCUUAUUAUGGUAACCUAAACCUAGUCUUCUGCUGCAUUGAAUCUCUUCCGUAUGCCUGCAUUUCGUUGCUUUUUGUUAUCCAUCUCUUCUGCUUCUAGGUAACUAUUUCUUGAAUCUUAUACUUCUAAAGGAAUGACAAUUGGAUCCAAGUCCGAUGGGUACCGGCAAAAUACUACGAUGCAUAUUGUUUUUUAUUUGGCUAAAUACUACGAUUGAUAUUAUUUUAUGAGUUGAUUUGAAAUUUUUUGGAUCAUAAUUUUAUUUCAAUUGCGGGUUUUUUUUUAUUGUCUUUUCAUAGUUAAAAUGCGGGUAAUGGGUGCGGGUAUGGGCACUUAGGUGCCCAUAGGGUAUGGGGAAGGGCACUAAAGUUGUUGCCCACGAUGGUACGGGUCCGGGUACGAGUAUUUUUUACAAACGCGGGUAUGGGGAUGGGUACCAUAGUACCCUUCCCAUUGGGUACCCAUUGUCAUCCCUUUUGUGUUGAUGAAAAUAAAAUGAAUGUGAAAUAAAAGUAAAUAAGAUAGAAGAGUUGCUACAAAAAAUAUAAAAUGACAAAAGAGCAAGUUGUGGAACAAAGAUAAAUUACUACUACUUAUUAUAUUAUUGUCUAACCUAUCCUAUAUUAUGAUGAAAAAUUUGAAAUGCCCCUUAUAUAUUUAUCCCAAAAUAGUGUCAUUCUAAGCCAAUGAUCUUAACUCUAGAAGACAAAAUUAUUAUCUUCCUUUAAUAAAAUAGUACACUUUGCAUCAGUUCUUAUUUUGUAAUCCUUGAAUCACUUUAUACUACUAUCUCAUAAUAUCUCUUUAUCGUAUAUGGUCAACUUGUACUUAAUGAAACAAAUUGCAUGUUGUUACUAAUUGUCAAAUUAUAUUGAGUAAACAAAUUACAUUCUGUCAACUUUGUUAUUAACAACCCUUCUAUAUAACAUCAACUAUUCUCUACUCAUAUCUACAACGAAAUCCUUUUCUUGGUUUAGUUUUUAGUACCAAGUGUUAGAGGUGAAGCUAGGCCAAGAACAUUUUGUGUUUGGUAAAUUCUCUUGUUCACAAUGGGAACAACUCUUAGCUUACCACUGCAUGUGGUGAUUCCCCUCCCUAUGAAAUUGAUUAUCCAACUCAUUGUCCAACCGGUCGAUUCUCUAAUGGCUGCAACAUUAAUUCCCGGCCUAUCAACUAAGUUUUCAUAUUAAUAUUUUGGUUUAGAUGCACUUGUGUUCGUCUAAUUUUUAGUUAUUCACAAGUUUAGUCUCCAAUUUCUAAAUCUUGAAAUAUUAUUCCUCAAUUUUAAAAUUUUCAUAAGAAACUUUUAACACUAAGUUUAAAGCUUAUUUUUGCUGUAUCAAGUUGAAUAAUGCAGUGAAAAAUUACAAAUCAGGGUGAUAAAAUGCAUACUUUUUUGAAAGUUUUUGAUGACUUGAAAAAAUAAAACAAAAUUUGGUCCCCCGUACUUAUUGCUACGGCACUAUAUUACUUCUUAAGUCAUUAUUCAAUUUGACGCAUCACUAAAAUUAAAACUUCUUGGCAUAGUGAUGAUAACCGCAAAAAUGUUGGUUAUUACUUUUGAUUUAUACCCAUAAUUUAAUAAUGAGCGGGCACGACGCUCUUUCCCCACGAAUUUGUACGACCAGCACAAACUACACCCAAUUUGCUCUUUUUUUAGGCUUGCAUAACUGUCAGCAUAAAUAAAACAACAAACUAAACGGUAAAACAAAAAGUAAGUAUAGUCUAAACAUUGUUGCUAUAAUCAUUGUCACCAUGGGUGUUACUACAGUCCAAAGAAAUGUGUUUUCCAAUGGGUAAAAAUUAAAGUGUAAAGCAGUAAACCAUGGAAGAGUUAUUUAAAUAUAUUAUGUCAUAGAAUUGAUUUGUCGUAAAUGGGGUAGUAGUACACAACAUCACUCGAAGAUACAUGUUUGUGAUUUUUCAUUAAAUAAAAGAAAAAAAUCAUGUCGUGCAACAUGCACGAAAAAGCAUGUCGUGCGUUGUAUCAUUAUCCAUUUGGAUAAUUUAUGCUCAUUAUGGUUGGUUUUAUGGGUUGGUUGUGUGUUUGUUGCAAAGUUGUACAAAGAUGCAGCCCCGGAGGCAUAAACAACAUCGUUGUAAGAUUGCUAGUAUAAGUAGUACGAAUAUAUGAACGUGGGUAUUUUUGAAACAAAAUGAGUUUAACAAUGCCUUUAAGUUUUGAUGAUAACUAGGUAUUAAAAGUUCAAUUGGAUAUGCUAAUAUUUGUUCAAGUGUGCAGGACCAUAGAGUAAAAUUUAUAAGUCUUAAAACAAAGUAUUGGUUCUGAAAGAACAAUUGAGAGCAAAAGAAUUUUCAAGAGAAGCUUAGUUGCAAGUCAGAAUUUGAAAAAGUCAGAGUCUGAAGACUAUUAAGAAGCUGGCUGUCAGAGUCUGAAGUUCACCCAGAGUCUAAAGAUUCAUCAGAAGCUGAAGUGAAGAAUCUAAAGUUAGUUUUUAUGGAUAUUUGAAGACACAAAUGUGCAUAAGUAAUAGAAGACUAGAGCAACGGAUAUUCUGAAGAAUUAGAAGGCUUUAGAUGCUUAUACAAAGAGAAAGAACAGUGAAUGUCAGUGGUGCAAUUGUACAACCACUACCUCCACUACUCCAACAUUUCAUGCGCAUAGUAAAAGUUACAGUUGUGUCUUUAUUGGAAUGAAACGGUUAAUUCCCUAUCAUGGAAUGGUUUUCAAAUUAUUCUCUCCUACGAUAUUAACCAUAUCAAGCAACAAAUCAAUGUUGAUUGAUCAAGCUUCUACAACGACUCUUUGAUAUAAUGGCACCUCUACAACAUCUCUUUCAUAUCUCUAUAUAAAGGAAUGAAGACUUGAAGAUUAGUUGUGACUUGAAGAUUAGUUGUGACUCUACAACAUUUUAACUUGUGCCAAAACUCUGCUGAAAUUAUUGUGCAUCAAAACACUUAGCAUUUCUUAUCAACUUUCAUAUCUUAAAAAUUCUUAAGUCUUAGAGUCUGAACUGUUUUGUACUGUGAACACCACUGAUUGUAUAUCAAGUGUUCAACCAACCUUAUUCUUUGUAAUUUGUUUGUUUAGGAAGUCUGUUGCUUUUGUGCUUGAGCAUAGGAAAUCUCUUGCUUGUGUGCUUCAGUAUUUUAAGUCUCUUGCUUCUGUGCUUGAGAAAUUGUAAUCUUAUGUGAUUAUAGUGAAAAUCUCCUUGGAAGUGCAAGGGGGGCUGGACUACUUCCGAAUUGUGGAAGGAACCAGGAUAAUUGCUUGUUACUCUUUCUCUUUUCAAUCUGUUGCACAAGACUCUGGACUUGGUUUAAAAGAAGAAAAAGUUAACACAAUUCAACCCUCCUCCUCUCACCUUCAGAUACAUCCUUGAUGAGGCAUGGAUAUGAAGUUUGUUGGGUCACCGAUGAUUGUCGGUACAAUGAAAAAUAAGGAAUUUUUUAUUCCAAAUGUAAUAAGGACGAAUGCACAUGGAAAAUUACUAAAGGACAUAAUUUGGAUAGAGACAAGACUUGUAAUAUAAAAGGACGAUGACAAUGUUCUGACAAGUGUCUGAAAUUUGUCAUCUUGUUUAAGCGGCGGUUUCCAACUAGGGUUAGCAGCCACUUAAGAUCUCAGAACCCAUAUUCUACUCAUCAUUCAUUUCAUUGGAGAGCAUGAUAGCUCGCUCUUACUUAGUUGGGGUUUUAGGAACCUUGUGAGUGAGUAAUGCAAAAAAUCUCAUUCUUUUUCAUUGUGUUUUCUUCCAUUUCUUAUCUUAUUUAUAUUUUUGUGUUUGAGCUUACCAUGAGCUAAAACACUUUGUGCUUAAGACACAAUGAGGUUAUGAUUAUGUUUGCAUAAGGUUGAUUAAUUGCGUGCUCAUGCUUCUUUUAAACAAGUUUUAUUAACUCUAAUAUUUAAAGUAAAACUUGAUCACUUUUAUCUUUAUUGUCAAAUUCCUUAAGCUUGACAGAGGAGGGGAACGGAACUACUUGUUUAAUAUGAGAAAUGUUUUAAUGUUAAGAAGAUAUAAAGACCUUGGAAAUGGUAGAGAUCUAACCUUAAUAAUGUUAAUGUUCAAUGUUAACUUGGCUUAUAUACAAGUCUAUGACUAUGAUAAGUUGCUCGAAGUACAAGCAAAGUAACAAACCCUAACAACCAUAAGCUAAAUUCUAGGAAACUUGUAAUCAAAUAACAAACUAAAAACUAAUGUGAUUAACCUACUAAAUAUGAUUACAUCACUAACAAACUUGAAUUGACCAUUAAAACUAACAGGCCAAGAGCGUUUUUUGUAUUUGGGGAUUUUCUUGUCCACCAACUGCUCGAUAAUCUUAUUCCAUUUGCUUCAAAAUGAGCAGAAAACAAAUUUAAUAUAAUAAAAGGAAAACAAACAUAUAUAGUUUGGUUAUGCUUAAUGAUAAUGCAACCUUUUUCUUCAAGGCAUAUUGACUACGGAGUAUGUAAAAUUUCGCAUUUGUGAGUACAAAAAAAUCACUUGCUGGUAAAUCAAUUUUCUUGUAAUUCUUACGUGGAAAAAUAUCUAAAUCAGGUAAAUCAAUUUUUUACAUAUAUGUUUACUAAAAAUAUUAUAUUGAUCAACAAUUUAAAACUUAAUUUUUAUUGAUUUAAAAAAAAUCAGAAGCUAUUGUGUGUUUAUUUUCCAUAAUGAAAAUCAUUUCUUUUAAAAGACAACUAUAAAGAAUUAUUUUGUUUCUUGUUUGGAGCGUAGGUUUCAGACCCAAGUAGUAGUAUGAGGUCUCUUAGCUAUUGUUCUUAAAAAAUGACCAGGUUUUGCCCAUUAUAUUGCGGCAAUUCUCCAAAGAAAUUUUGACUUUUCGUUCUGACGAACGAAUAGUCAUUGAAUCCUCCUCUUUCCAGACAACACAUACAAAGAAAUCCGCCAACCUAAAACAUAAUUAGUAAACUUUUUUUUAGGAAAACAUAAUUAGUGACCUUAUGAUAGAUGUUUAUUUUGAAUAUUUUUUAUUUUUAAAAUUCUGAUUUUCUUAAAAAUCAUCUAUAUUUACCCAAAUAUUAAUUGGUGUCAUAAGAAAUUUUGCCCAUUGCGGUCUCUUAGCUAUUGCGGUUUCAGACUCAAGUAGUAGUAUGAGGUCUCUUAGCUAUUGUUCUUGAAAAAUGACCAGGUUUUGCCCAUUGCGGCAUUGCUCCAAAGAAAUUUUGACUUUUCGUUCUAACGAACGAAUAGUCAUUGAUCGAGUCCGCCUCUUUCUCGACAACACAUACAAAGAAAUCCGCCAACAUAAAACAUAAUUAGUGAACUUUUUUUUAGGGAAACAUAAUUAGUGAACUUAUGAUAGAUGUUUAUAUUGAAUAUUUUUUUUUUCAAAUUCUGAUUUUCUUAAAAAUCAUCUUUAUUUACCUAAAUAUUAAUUGGUGUCAUAAGCAUAAACGUCAAAUAGUAGUUGUUACUAGAAGUUUGAUUGACCCAACAAGGAGAGGGAGGAGAUUCGAAGAAUCCUAAUCGCCAUCAUCAUUCUAAUUUAGCAUUACUUUUUUUACUUUUAUGUUUAACAACAAACAACUCUUUGCAAAUCCCCCCAUUAACUGUUUUUAAUCAAGUUUAGUUUAAUUUUGCAAAAGCAACAAUUCGUGUGGAGAAGAUAACUUACUACUUUAUUAAUUGAUAUGAUUUGAUGCGUUUUCCGAAAUUAUCAUCGUCUAAAAAUUUGAAUGAAUAAAUAUCUAUUUUUUUUAAAAGUAAGCUAGAAAUUAUUUUUCAAUUUAACUAUUAAAGUGAUUUUUUAGAUGGUUGGAUUGAGAGAAAAAAAAAGUUUUAUAUGUUUGGAAUGCACAUCAUGGCAAUACCUUCUAAUUUAUGACAUAAGAAGACAUCUAUAAAUAAUUUUAUUUCAUGACUUAUUUCAUUGCAUUGCAAUUAUCUCAUAGUAUAAAAUCAUAACUUUAAGGUCCUUGAAAAAUAGGAGAAAAAAUUAUUAGGUGCAUACACAAAUACCAAAUGAAAGCUCCUCAAAUAUUCUAGCAUACAAUAUACCGUACAAUGCUUUGGUUAGAGCAAGAACUCUUUCAUCUCACCCUGCUACUUAUACAAAAGCCUUUCCGACAUUUAGCUUUAUAAUGUUUCAUGUUUGGACAAUCUUUAUCAGUUAUACAAGGACGAGAAACAGGGAAAUAAAUAGAAUCACAUACUAUUACAACAUGAAAUAUGGAAAUAAAUAGAAUCAGAACAUAAACAAACUUCAAAGUUUCAGACAUCUUUUUCACUCUUUGCAUCUAAAGUAUGAUAUGAUUUGAUCAAUUUAUAGUGUAUAAAGUUCAUGCUCACAUAAUCAUAAAAUAGUUUAAGCAUUUAUAAAAUUUUAAAAACUCUUCAUAAAAUUAUAAUAAUACUAAAUGCCUCUUAAGUAUUUCUAUGUGUUGCAUUGGUCCUUGUUCACACUAGGAAAGGAGUUCAAAUCAUAAAAUUGAUAAUCAUAAGAAUUACAUUAUCA
This 10181-nucleotide long non-coding RNA is filed under the name Medicago truncatula (barrel medic). Its description in RNAcentral is "long non-coding RNA (MTRU_LNC004642)". Lineage: Eukaryota; Viridiplantae; Streptophyta; Magnoliopsida; Fabales; Fabaceae. The record is from RNAcentral.